RNAcentral lists this long non-coding RNA (1186 nucleotides) under Zonotrichia albicollis (white-throated sparrow). RNAcentral's name for it is "lncRNA (ENSZALG00000002702.1)". Lineage: Eukaryota; Metazoa; Chordata; Aves; Passeriformes; Passerellidae. The record is from RNAcentral.
CUCCAAAAAGGAAAGAAAAAAGCAACAAAAAACUCGAAUUUUGGUACAGAAAUGCCCUUUUUCUAUGGGGUGAGGAGCUUGGAAAUUCCCAAAUUUCCCCAAAUUUCUGGCCAAGAGUUCGGGGUUGUUUUGUGCGAUUCCCAAGGGGGUGGAAAUUCCUGGAGGAAGCAAAAUGAAAAGGAAAAAUGAAAAUUUGUUCCAUUGGGAUGGGAAGAAAAAUUUGAGAAGGAAAUAAAAAAAAAUUUGGGAAGGAAAUAAAAAAAAUUUGGGAAGGAAAUAAAAAUUUAGGAAGGAAACGGAAAGAUCAGGAAUGAAACAUUGGGAAGGAAACAUUGGGAAGGAAACAAAAAUGUUGGGAAUUAAACAAAAAUAUUGGGAAGGAAACACCAGGAAUGAAACAAAAAUAAAAGGGAAUUAAACAGUAACAAAGGGAAUGAAACAAAAAUAUUGGGAAGGAAACAAAAAUAUUGGGAAUGAAACAAAGAUGCCAGGAGGGAAACAAGAAUGCAGCGAGGAUUCUUGUUUAAUUUUGCAACCCUGAAGGGAAAAAUUCAACAGAAGCUGAUUUGUGCCAACCGAAAUCCUGCCCUUUCCAUGCCAGGGGUGUGCCAGGCCAAAUCCUGCCAGCCAAGGAGGGUUGGGAAGGUGCCAGGAAUGUGCCAACCCAAAUCGUGCCAGCCCAAAUCCUGCCAUUUUCAUGCCAGGGAUGUGCCAGGCCAAAUCAUGUUCUUUCCACCUCCUGCCAUCCAGGCUGGGCACAGGGAAUGGGACUGGGGAUGUGCCAGGCCAAAUCCUGUUCUUUCCACCUGCUGCCAUCCAGGCUGGGCACAGGGAAUGGGACUGUGGAUGUGCCAACCCAAAUUGUGCCAGGCCAAAUCCUGCCCUUUUUAUGCCAGGGGUGUGCCAGGCCAAAUCCUGUUCUUUCCACCUCCUGCCAUCCAGGCUGGGCACAGGGAAUGGGACUGGGGAUUUGCCAACCCAAAUCCUGCCCUUUCCACCCCCUGCCAUCCAGUUUGGGCACAGGGAAUGGGACUGGGGAUGUGCCAACCCAAAUCCUGCCCUUUCCACCCCCUGCCAUCCAGUUUGGGCACAGGGACCGAGCCUGGCACCGCUGUGACCCCACUGGAACCACACAAAUCCCGAACUCUCGGCCUCACCCUCACCCACCCCGCGCUGGGCCCGCCCG